RNAcentral lists this long non-coding RNA (634 nucleotides) under Mustela putorius furo (domestic ferret). RNAcentral's name for it is "lncRNA (ENSMPUG00000024994.1)". The record is from RNAcentral. Lineage: Eukaryota; Metazoa; Chordata; Mammalia; Carnivora; Mustelidae.
GUUUUAAGCCACUAAGUUUUAAGGUGAUUUGUUACACAGCAACAGUAACCAGAGCACACUGUGACAUAAUAAUAGAGAGAUUAGAAUUGCUUUAUUCUAAAAUAUGAUUUCUUGCACUUUUGUAAAGCAAUUUUGUUCAGCUUAGGGAAGCAUCUGUGUUUUAUAACUUUCAUUAUUUCCCUUCAGACAUGGUGUUUUUAUGGAUAAGGAGUUAUAGAUUUGAUUCUAAAGCCACAUACUAAUGGACAAAUUACGGCCUGUGGGAGAAGCAGCAUCCUGGAGCCCUACAUCCCUCUAAGAUGCCAAUUAUUCACAGAUCCCAACAGUAAUAUAUACAAAUUCCCCUGAAGAGAACUUCUUCCCACACUGCUUACGGCCAAGCACUGCCUGGGGGAGCAAGUCUUAAUUUCAACGUGGUUACACGUGCCAGUACCACUCCCUCCAAGUUGUGGCAUCCAAGUUGUCCCCAGAGAGCUGAAUGUCAGUCACCUGGGGAGCAACACUGUCCAUACUAAGAACUACUCUUCGGACCCAGUGAUGACAAGGAUUCCUUGUCACCCCUGACGGCUACCUGUCUACCUGAAGUACAUGAGAAGGUAAGUCCUUGAGUAAACACUAACUUUUCCAGAAACUG